ACGCUCGACACCUACGGGAGGCAGCAGUUGGGAAUAUUGGACAAUGGAGGAAACUCUGAUCCAGUGACGCCGCGUGAAGGAAGAAGGUCUUCGGAUUGUAAACUUAUUUUGUCAGGGAAGAAAAAUGACUGUACCUGAAGAAAAAGCACCGGCUAACUACGUGCCACAGCCGCGGUAAUCUGAGCGGGCGUGGCGAAGGCG
This 201-nucleotide ribosomal RNA is filed under the name uncultured bacterium. RNAcentral's name for it is "partial 16S ribosomal RNA". It matches the Rfam family "Bacterial small subunit ribosomal RNA", at positions 328 to 538 of the family's 1533-position model. The record is from RNAcentral.